GGUUAAGCGACUAAGCGUACACGGUGGAUGCCCUGGCAGUCAGAGGCGAUGAAGGACGUGCUAAUCUGCGAUAAGCGUCGGUAAGGUGAUAUGAACCGUUAUAACCGGCGAUUUCCGAAUGGGGAAACCCAGUGUGAUUCGUCACACUAUCGUUAACUGAAUACAUAGGUUAACGAAGCGAACCGGGGGAACUGAAACAUCUAAGUACCCCGAGGAAAAGAAAUCAACCGAGAUUCCCCCAGUAGCGGCGAGCGAACGGGGAGGAGCCCAGAGCCUGAAUCAGCAUGUGUGUUAGUGGAAGCGUCUGGAAAGGCGCGCGAUACAGGGUGACAGCCCCGUACACAAAAGCGCAUGUGCUGUGAGCUCGAUGAGUAGGGCGGGACACGUGGUAUCCUGUCUGAAU
RNAcentral lists this ribosomal RNA (403 nucleotides) under Salmonella enterica. Its description in RNAcentral is "partial 23S ribosomal RNA". It matches the Rfam family "Bacterial large subunit ribosomal RNA", at positions 1 to 443 of the family's 2925-position model. Lineage: Bacteria; Pseudomonadati; Pseudomonadota; Gammaproteobacteria; Enterobacterales; Enterobacteriaceae. The record is from RNAcentral. RNAcentral also lists the same sequence under 1 other name.